AUUGAACGCUGGCGGCAGGCCUAACACAUGCAAGUCGAACGGUAACAGGAAGCAGCUUGCUGCUUUGCUGACGAGUGGCGGACGGGUGAGUAAUGUCUGGGAAACUGCCUGAUGGAGGGGGAUAACUACUGGAAACGGUAGCUAAUACCGCAUAACGUCGCAAGACCAAAGAGGGGGACCUUCGGGCCUCUUGCCAUCGGAUAUGCCCAGAUGGGAUUAGCUAGUAGGUGGGGUAACGGCUCACCUAGGCGACGAUCCCUAGCUGGUCUGAGAGGAUGACCAGCCACACUGGAACUGAGACACGGUCCAGACUCCUACGGGAGGCAGCAGUGGGGAAUAUUGCACAGUGGGCGCAAGCCUGAUGCAGCCAUGCCGCGUGUAUGAAGAAGGCCUUCGGGUUGUAAAGUACUUUCAGCGGGGAGGAAGGGAGUAAAGUUAAUACCUUGGCUCAUUGACGUUACCCGCAGAAGAAGCACCGGCUAACUCCGUG
This 490-nucleotide ribosomal RNA is filed under the name uncultured bacterium. RNAcentral's name for it is "partial 16S ribosomal RNA". It matches the Rfam family "Bacterial small subunit ribosomal RNA", at positions 30 to 507 of the family's 1533-position model. The record is from RNAcentral.